Solanum stenotomum is the source of this 247-nucleotide long non-coding RNA. RefSeq lists it as uncharacterized. NCBI's taxonomy places the organism in Eukaryota, Viridiplantae, Streptophyta, Magnoliopsida, Solanales, Solanaceae. The record is from RefSeq and is a predicted model, not a curated record. The transcript is spliced from 3 exons.
UGUUAUUAUUGUUAUUACUACGUAAAUAAAUGCAGGCUCGCUAUCCAUACGGUAGAAUGCCAAUAAUGCAUUUUUGUUCUAAUAGAGGAGUUGUUGAGCAAGAAAAUGGACAUGGAAAGAGGGAGCAUCCAUAGCUGACCAGUCCUAAUCCUAUUAACAACUGAUUGUACCAUUCAAGCUUUGCUGCCAAAGGUCUAUCAGUGGACCCUUACUUGCGUAUGCUUAAGGAGAAUCCAGACUUUCAUAA